This 775-nucleotide long non-coding RNA is filed under the name Marmota monax (woodchuck). The record is from RNAcentral. Lineage: Eukaryota; Metazoa; Chordata; Mammalia; Rodentia; Sciuridae.
AUUAAGACCUGCUUCUAGCUUGAAAUAAGCCUUGAUUGGUGUUUAGUGCCCACGGGUGUCUGUGGGUUCAACCUACCUAGGUUUCAACUCAAUCUGGAAUGGAUCACAGGUGCUAUAUUCCUGUAAUAGGAAAUGGAAUUACUGAGUAUUUUGAGUCUGCCUGUUUGCCAGGCAUUGAACCAAAGCUGUUCACUCAGUAACAGGCUUACUUACAUGUGCUAGAGGUCAGCCUAUAUUACGUUGGCUUUUCCCUGCUGUGAUGCUGUGUAAAACUGAAUUCCCUCCUGAGGAAAUGCCUGUUGGGAAGAAGAUCUGAGGAAAGCAGUGAAGAGAUCUCAGUGUCGAAUCCUUUAAGGACCGGGGUCCUUCCUCAAUUAGUGUCUAAGAAACACCAGAGCGAUGGCUUCAUCUCUGGUGGCUCUCUGUUCCUAGUCCUCUGCACGUGGCUUUUUAAGCCUCUUCACAUUCUCUGAGAGGUUUCAUGUGUAACUUGUACUAGAAAUGUUAUUGAGAGUUGCCUAAACAAAAAAUUGUAUAAAGCAAUACUGUUGUAAAUCUAUUUUUUAAGGCAUAAACAAUUUGUAAAGUAUAUAUUUCACUUUGAAAUUUAUGUAAACAAAUUUUCAUGUUUAAAUACUGCUGGCAUUGGAAUGCACCUGUACAUUUUCCUUAGUAUAAGUGGAAUAUUGUAUAGAGCCAACAGCAGAAUGGAUAAUUCAGCUCCCUGUUUUGGUUUUGGGUUAAUUACAUGAGGUGAAGGCCUGUGAUCCGGUGA